Molecule: ribosomal RNA, 559 nt
Filed under: uncultured bacterium
Lineage: Bacteria
Description: bacterial SSU rRNA
Rfam family: Bacterial small subunit ribosomal RNA
Source: RNAcentral
GGGAAACUGCCUGAUGGAGGGGGAUAACUACUGGAAACGGUAGCUAAUACCGCAUAACCUCGCAAGAGCAAAGAGGGGGACCUUCGGGCCUCUCGCCAUCAGAUGUGCCCAGAUGGGAUUAGCUAGUAGGUGAGGUAAUGGCUCACCUAGGCGACGAUCCCUAGCUGGUCUGAGAGGAUGACCAGCCACACUGGAACUGAGACACGGUCCAGACUCCUACGGGAGGCAGCAGUGGGGAAUAUUGCACAAUGGGCGCAAGCCUGAUGCAGCCAUGCCGCGUGUGUGAAGAAGGCCUUCGGGUUGUAAAGCACUUUCAGCGAGGAGGAAGGCGAUAAGGUUAAUAACCUUAUCGAUUGACGUUACUCGCAGAAGAAGCACCGGCUAACUCCGUGCCAGCAGCCGCGGUAAUACGGAGGGUGCAAGCGUUAAUCGGAAUGACUGGGCGUAAAGCGCACGCAGGCGGUCUGUUAAGUUGGGUGUGAAAUCCCCGGGCUUAACCUGGGAACUGCAUUCAAAACUGACAGGCUAGAGUCUUGUAGAGGGGGGUAGAAUUCCAGGU